Molecule: long non-coding RNA, 1250 nt
Organism: Macrobrachium nipponense
Lineage: Eukaryota; Metazoa; Arthropoda; Malacostraca; Decapoda; Palaemonidae
Exons: 3
Source: RefSeq, a predicted model, not a curated record
UUAGGUUGAUACGUAUACGUCUUAACUUUUUUUUGUGAUUUUAAGUGUUACCUCUGAACUUGUUACUGUAUGAACCAAGGCUGAUAGCAAUGUUACUCGGGAGUCCAUGGGGCGUGAAAUGAGUAAGACUGAGUGUGAUAAAUCAGAAGUUUUGAUGAGGAAGCGGGAUCUUCUCGUGUUCGUAAACCUACAGUACCGAGGCAGCUCACUUGGAAGAUUAGUGAGCAGUAAUAUACUAAUUCUUCGUGAUGAAGGUAAGGCUACACUAGCCUUUGAAUAAUAGCGGAAGCCGGGAAGAUACGACCUCCAUGGUGGAGGUUUCGAAAACGUUGCUAUCCCAGUGACAAAAGCUUUGGUUAAUGAAUACUGGGCUAUGUGGCACAACAGAAGCCGUAGGAACCUUGCUGAUAAAAAUAUCCGUCUGAUGUUCUCCUGCCUCCAGGUACGGCCCUCUUAUCUCCUUGUCGACCAAAAUACUACCCAGUACUUGAGGUACUAUGUAAUCAACAUGGAUGAAUAGUCCCUUGAGAAGGAGGGCACUGAAAGAGUGGAGGGUCGCCAAAAUUGAUACUUUACACACAGGCCUGGUGUACUAGGCCUAUACUCAAUUUCAACUUACCUGGCACCGAAAAAUAAUCAUGCACCGGCAGGUGGUUAUGGCACUAUACUUGGAUGUACUUGUCAGCUGACAGAGGGUUGGAGAACAAUUGCUAAGAUCAGCUGACACCACCUAUAGCAAAAGUGACCCCUGACCACAUCGGAACUUCAGAAUAGGAUACAUCGUCGUCAGUGUUGGUGAGAAUUUGUUGAAAAGUCAGAAGAAAAUGAAAUUUUAUUUUGACAGAAAGACUGUGACCCGGGACUUCGACGUAGGACAGAAGGUACUGGUUCUGUUACCUAUCCCAGGUAACAAAAUUCUCUAAAAGCUACCUUCCGGAGACCAUGGAAGGUAUUGAAGAAGGUAAAUAAUGUUAACUUCUUGGUGGAAACCCCCGAUAGGAGAAGGCCUCAUCAAUUAGUACAUAUAAAUAUGAUGAAAGCUUUCCAUGAAAGAGAGAAGAUUAGGCCAAUUGCGGCUCUUCGUGACAGUAGAAAUGACUUUGUCGGUAAUAAUGCUUCUUUUUCAGAUGAGCAUAAUAAUGAUUCCUUUUCAGAGGACAGGGACGUUUACUUGAAAGAUAGUGAAUGGCUGGCAGGUAAUGUCGAGGCUUUAGAAAAUUUACCUCAGAUGUUGAGUCACUUGGGUAAGG